GCUUAUGAGUUAAGCGUGAUGUCAGGAGGGUGAUGGAUGUGGUCAACAUGAUGUAAUAAAUGUCGUAUGUGCCCAAACAUUUUUAAUAAAAAAAUCUCUUGAUGGAUAUGGUUUAGUCAACAACUACGGUUCUUUGUAGCGACUCACGGUCCAAGACAUCACUCUGUAGAAGAUCGUCGGGCCAGCAUGAUGUAAAUGUAGUAUGUGGGACCCCUCCCAAACAUUUUUAAUCAAAAAAU
RNAcentral lists this long non-coding RNA (239 nucleotides) under Amborella trichopoda. Its description in RNAcentral is "long non-coding RNA (ATRI_LNC001584)". Lineage: Eukaryota; Viridiplantae; Streptophyta; Magnoliopsida; Amborellales; Amborellaceae. The record is from RNAcentral.